RNAcentral lists this long non-coding RNA (598 nucleotides) under Lupinus mutabilis. RNAcentral's name for it is "partial ncRNA". Lineage: Eukaryota; Viridiplantae; Streptophyta; Magnoliopsida; Fabales; Fabaceae. The record is from RNAcentral.
UUUUAGUACUUAAUCAGGGUCUGGGGUACAUCAUUAGUUCAUGAACCAAUGAUUUUGUAAUGUCAAACUAUGGAGGAAGAAAAAAAGGAAGCGAAUGCAGAAAUGUUGGCAAAGGGGCAUGAGCAAUUUGACGAAAUCAACCGAGAACAAUUACAAACAUUAAGGUAUUGAAAAUUUUGGAGAGGCUAAAUGAAAGAUCAUGUCAAUAAGUAUGAUCAUCAUCCUCGGAAAUUUAAGGAUUGUGGCUGAAAUAAGGAUGAACAAUUACAUAAAGCUUCUUAUAAUUCAUUGUUAUCAUUUUUUUAUCCUCAUUACGUAUAGCUACGGUGCACUCACUAAUAUGGUACACUUUAUAUGCCUAUAUACUUCUAAAUUAAGAGUGGAUGUUGGAAAUAAUUCAAAGGUAGUUGAUGAUACUCCCAAUCACACAUUUCUACUUUUGCCUACUUCUACUGAAACUUUUUGCCUACUUUUACUGAAACUUUUUGCCUACUUCUACUGAAACAAGGAAUGUAAAACUGAUUCAUUCUGUUUAGAUAUUGACUUACAGAUGUAUUAGCCCUCAUACCAGUUUGCAAUGCAAAUCUUAGUAAUAUCU